RNAcentral lists this transfer RNA (67 nucleotides) under Marmota monax (woodchuck). Its description in RNAcentral is "tRNA.Ala". Lineage: Eukaryota; Metazoa; Chordata; Mammalia; Rodentia; Sciuridae. The record is from RNAcentral.
GGUUGUGGCUCAGUGGUAGAGCGCUUGCCUAGCAUGAAUGAGGUACUGAGUUUGAUCCCUGGCACCA